Molecule: ribosomal RNA, 324 nt
Filed under: Triticum aestivum (bread wheat)
Lineage: Eukaryota; Viridiplantae; Streptophyta; Magnoliopsida; Poales; Poaceae
Description: partial small subunit ribosomal RNA
Source: RNAcentral
AUGACCUUGAAGGGCCACAGCUUCAUGUCACUCUGUACGGAGGGGUCAGAGAACCUCCUGCCAAUCAGCCGCUUCGCAUCUGCAACCAGAAACAGAGGAACAGAACAUUUGAGUUGCAUGCAAGCUGUUUCUUCAGAACAAGAGGUACAUUCAGUAAGCUACUGCAGACUGGGACUGUUCCAGAAGGAUAACCGAGAACAGAAAUUUAAAAUUAACAAGCAUAAUUUCAAUCAAACACCAUUUUCUGAAGGAUUUACAGGAUGCAACGAUACAGCGAAACCCAUGUUCAAUUCGGAAUAUCAUCCAAUCAAUAGCAAAACAUGA